RNAcentral lists this ribosomal RNA (575 nucleotides) under uncultured bacterium. RNAcentral's name for it is "partial 16S ribosomal RNA". It matches the Rfam family "Bacterial small subunit ribosomal RNA", at positions 355 to 923 of the family's 1533-position model. The record is from RNAcentral.
UGGGGAAUUUUGGACAAUGGGCGAAAGCCUGAUCCAGCAAUGCCGCGUGUGAAGAAGGCCUUCGGGUUGUAAAGCACUUUUGUCCGGAAAGAAAUCCUUGGCUCUAAUACAGUCGGGGGAUGACGGUACCGGAAGAAUAAGCACCGGCUAACUACGUGCCAGCAGCCGCGGUAAUACGUAGGGUGCAAGCGUUAAUCGGAAUUACUGGGCGUAAAGCGUGCGCAGGCGGUUUGCUAAGACCGAUGUGAAAUCCCCGGGCUCAACCUGGGAACUGCAUUGGUGACUGGCAGGCUAGAGUAUGGCAGAGGGGGGUAGAAUUCCACGUGUAGCAGUGAAAUGCGUAGAGAUGUGGAGGAAUACCGAUGGCGAAGGCAGCCCCCUGGGCCAAUACUGACGCUCAUGCACGAAAGCGUGGGGGGCAAACAGGAUUAGAUACCCUGGUAGUCCAGCGCCCUAAACGAUGUCAACUAGUUGUUGGGGAUUCAUUUCCUUAGUAACGUAGCUAACGCGUGAAGUUGACCGCCUGGGGAGUACGGUCGCAAGAUUAAAAACUCAAAUGAAUUGACGGGGUCAUA